CCGAGUUGAUUUCUUGGGGAACACACUCAGCGCAGGUGUCACAUACACGGACGCACGCGCACACAAACAGUUUGGGUUCCGAGAGAGGAACUGCGGAAGUGUGCAGAAAGAAAUUUUAGGAAAAUCCCAGCCCUGCCCCCCCCAACUGACGCCGCACCUUGACCCGGAAGAUAAUCAUCUAAAGCAGGCUGGACCUUCUCACCUGCGGACUAUAAAGAUUAACUAGGUCGCAAAUGGAGAACCAAGAACCAAGAAAUUCUUCUCAGAAUACCAAACAACAUGUUAUUUCAGAGGAGUUAAUUUCAGAAGGAAACUGGGUCAAGCUUGAAAAAACAACUUACAUGGAUCCUACUGGUAAAACUAGAACUUGGGAAACAGUGAAACGUACAACGAGGAAGGGACAGUCCGCUGAUGGCGUAGCAAUCAUCCCAGUGCUGCAAAGGACUCUUCAUUAUGAGUGCAUCGUUCUGGUGAAACAGUUCCGGCCGCCAGUGGGCAGCUACUGCCUUGAGUUCCCUGCAGGUCUCAUCGAUGACAACGAGAGCCCAGAAGCAGCUGCGCUUCGGGAGCUGGAGGAAGAAACUGGCUAUAAAGGUGACGUUGCCGAAUGUUCCCCAGUUGUAUGUAUGGACCCAGGUUUGUCAAACUGUACCACACACAUCGUGACAGUGACAAUCAAUGGCGAUGAUGCAGAAAAUGUAAGACCUAAGCCAAAGCCAGUCUUCCCAAGUUUGUCGCCCCUUGCUGACCGUGUUCUCCUGCUGUUUGUUUUCAGGGGAUGGAGGUAUGUUAUCAGCUCCCGGUGGCUCCCGUGUGUGUGGCGUAGUGUAGUGGUAAUGGAACAGACCCGGGGGCUGUGUGGCAGGCUCUUGUUCUUCAGCCCUGUUUUCACUUGCACUUUGUUUGUUUAGAAUUUGUGGAAGUAAUUUCUUUACCAAAGAAUGACCUGCUGAAUAGACUUGAUGCUCUGGUAGCCGAAGAACAUCUUACAGUGGAUGCCAGAGUCUACUCCUAUGCCCUGGCACUGAAACAUGCAACCACGAAGCCAUUUGAAGUUCCCUUUCUGAAAUUUUAAGGCCAGAGAGAACGUUGGCCAUGUUUUUGUAAAUGAGACUACCAGGCCUUCAUCAUCUAAAGACUGUAUUCAACUCAAUGUAGAUUUGAAAUUAGCUUUUGAUAAAAUAAAAGCAGCACCGAAUGCA
Molecule: RNA transcript, 1202 nt
Organism: Cavia porcellus (domestic guinea pig)
Lineage: Eukaryota; Metazoa; Chordata; Mammalia; Rodentia; Caviidae
Gene: Nudt5
Gene name: nudix hydrolase 5
Exons: 9
Source: RefSeq, a predicted model, not a curated record